UGGGGAAUAUUGCACAAUGGGCGCAAGCCUGAUGCAGCCAUGCCGCGUGUGUGAAGAAGGCCUUCGGGUUGUAAAGCACUUUCAGCGGGGAGGAAGGCGAUAAGGUUAAUAACCUCAUCGAUUGACGUUACCCGCAGAAGAAGCACCGGCUAACUCCGUGCCAGCAGCUGCGGUAAUACGGAGGGUGCAAGCGUUAAUCGGAAUUACUGGGCGUAAAGCGCACGCAGGCGGUCUGUCAAGUCGGAUGUGAAAUCCCCGGGCUCAACCUGGGAACUGCAUUCGAAACUGGCAAGCUAGAGUCUUGUAGAGGGGGGUAGAAUUCCAGGUGUAGCGGUGAAAUGCGUAGAGAUCUGGAGGAAUACCGGUGGCGAAGGCGGCCCCCUGGACAAAGACUGACGCUCAGGUGCGAAAGCGUGGGGAGCAAACAGG
Molecule: ribosomal RNA, 429 nt
Filed under: Chloroflexota bacterium
Lineage: Bacteria; Bacillati; Chloroflexota
Description: Chloroflexi bacterium partial 16S ribosomal RNA
Rfam family: Bacterial small subunit ribosomal RNA
Source: RNAcentral